CAGCCCCGCGGUAAUACCGGCGGCCCGAGUGGCGGUCACUAUUAUUGGGCUUAAAGCGUCCGUAGCCGGGUUGGGAAGUCCUCCGGGAAAUCUGGCCGCUUAACGGUCAGAAUGCCGGAGGAUACUCCCAGCCUAGGGAGCGGGGGAGGCCGAGGGUAUUCCCGGAGUAGGGGUGAAAUCCUAUAAUCCCGGGAGGACCACCUGUGGCGAAGGCGCUCGGCUGGAACGCGUCCGACGGUGAGGGACGAAGGCCAGGGGAGCAAACCGGAUUAGAUACCCGGGUAGUCCUGGCGGUAAACGAUGCGGACUUUGUGUCGGACAAGCUAUGAGCUUGUCCGGUGCCGGAGGGAAACCGUUAAGUCCGCCGCCUGGGGAGUACGGCCGCAAGGCUGAAACUUAAAGGAAUUGGCGGG
RNAcentral lists this ribosomal RNA (413 nucleotides) under uncultured microorganism. RNAcentral describes it as "bacterial SSU rRNA". It matches the Rfam family "Archaeal small subunit ribosomal RNA", at positions 459 to 872 of the family's 1478-position model. The record is from RNAcentral.